This 75-nucleotide transfer RNA is filed under the name Candidatus Woesebacteria bacterium. RNAcentral describes it as "tRNA-Arg". It matches the Rfam family "tRNA". From Rfam's summary of the family: Transfer RNA (tRNA) molecules are approximately 80 nucleotides in length. Their secondary structure includes four short double-helical elements and three loops (D, anti-codon, and T loops). Lineage: Bacteria; Candidatus Woeseibacteriota. The record is from RNAcentral.
GGCUACGUAGUUGAAUGGAUCAACAAGGGAUUUCUACUCCCUAUUGUGCAGGUUCGAAUCCUGUCGUGGCCACCA